GCCGAUGUAGCUCAGUUGGUAGAGCAACUGAUUCGUAAUCAGUAGGUCGGGGGUUCGACUCCCCCCAUCGGCU
RNAcentral lists this transfer RNA (73 nucleotides) under Nitrospirota bacterium. RNAcentral's name for it is "Nitrospirae bacterium (groundwater metagenome) tRNA-Thr". It matches the Rfam family "tRNA". Rfam says of the family: Transfer RNA (tRNA) molecules are approximately 80 nucleotides in length. The record is from RNAcentral. Lineage: Bacteria; Pseudomonadati; Nitrospirota.